GACGAACGCUGGCGGCGUGCUUAACACAUGCAAGUCGAACGGAAAGGCCCUGCUUUUGUGGGGUGCUCGAGUGGCGAACGGGUGAGUAACACGUGAGUAACCUGCCCUUGACUUUGGGAUAACUUCAGGAAACUGGGGCUAAUACCGGAUAGGAGCUCCUGCUGCAUGGUGGGGUUGGAAAGUUUCGGCGGUUGGGGAUGGACUCGCGGCUUAUCAGCUUGUUGGUGGGGGAGGGGCUUACCAAGGCUUUGACGGGUAGCCGGCCUGAGAGGGUGACCGGCCACAUUGGGACUGAGAUACGGCCCAGACUCCUACGGGAGGCAGCAGUGGGGAAUAUUGCACAAUGGGCGGAAGCCUGAUGCAGCAACGCCGCGUGCGGGAUGACGGCCUUCGGGUUGUAAACCGCUUUCGCCUGUGACGAAGCGUGAGUGACGGUAAUGGGUAAAGAAGCACCGGCUAACUACGUG
This 467-nucleotide ribosomal RNA is filed under the name uncultured bacterium. RNAcentral's name for it is "partial 16S ribosomal RNA". It matches the Rfam family "Bacterial small subunit ribosomal RNA", at positions 28 to 507 of the family's 1533-position model. The record is from RNAcentral.